Molecule: ribosomal RNA, 492 nt
Filed under: uncultured bacterium
Lineage: Bacteria
Description: partial 16S ribosomal RNA
Rfam family: Bacterial small subunit ribosomal RNA
Source: RNAcentral
GAUGAACGCUGGCGGCAGGCCUAACACAUGCAAGUCGAGCGGCCGCACAAUAAGCGCUUGCCCUUACGGGUAGCGAGUGACGGGCGGGUGAGGCAUACAUCAGCUUCUACUUUUUCGUGGGUGAUAACGUGGAGACACUUCCGCUACUACCGCAUACGUCCUACGGGUGAAAUCAGGAGAUAAUCACGCCUUGCGCGAUUCAAUUAGCCGAUGUCGGAUUAGCUAGUUGGCUGGGUAAAGGCCCACCAAGGCGACGCUGCGUAGCUGGCCUGAGAGGAUGAUCGGCCACACUGGAACUGAGACACGGUCCAGACUCCUACGGGAGGCAGCAGUGGGGAAUAUUGGACAAUGGGCGCAAGCCUGAUCCAGCCAUACCGCGUGGGUGAUGAAGGCCUUCGGAUUGUAAAGCCCUUUUGUUAGGGAAGAAAAGCAGCAUGUGAAACUCCCGCUGUUCUGACGGUACCCAAAGAAUAAGCACCGGCUAACUUCGUG